Molecule: transfer RNA, 78 nt
Filed under: Candidatus Roizmanbacteria bacterium RIFCSPLOWO2_01_FULL_41_22
Lineage: Bacteria; Candidatus Roizmaniibacteriota
Description: tRNA-Asp
Rfam family: tRNA
About the family: Transfer RNA (tRNA) molecules are approximately 80 nucleotides in length.
Source: RNAcentral
GGGACCGUAGCUCAGUCCGGAUAGAGCGCUUCCCUGUCACGGAAGAGGUCGGGGGUUCGAGUCCCCUCGGUCCCGCCA